Non-coding RNA from Pelobates cultripes (western spadefoot toad), 150 nucleotides. Lineage: Eukaryota; Metazoa; Chordata; Amphibia; Anura; Pelobatidae. The record is from the annotation of a GenBank genome assembly.
GCAGACACAUUCCAGCCAAUCAGCAGCAGACCCUCCCUCCCAGUCCCUCCCACCUCCUGGACAGCUCACUAAGCUUCAAAAUGGAUGCUGUCCAGGAGGUGGGAGGGUCUGGGAGGGAGGGUCUGCUGCUGAUUGGCUGGAAUGUGUCUG